CGUGCAGGCGGUUUGGUAAGUUGGAUGUGAAAGCUCCUGGCUUAACUGGGAGAGGUCGUUCAAUACUGCCAGGCUAGAGGACGGUAGAGGAAGGUAGAAUUCCUGGUGUAGUGGUGAAAUGCGUAGAUAUCAGGAGGAAUACCAGAGGCGAAGGCGGCCUUCUGGGCCGUUCCUGACGCUAAGACGCGAAAGCAUGGGUAGCAAACG
Molecule: ribosomal RNA, 207 nt
Filed under: uncultured bacterium
Lineage: Bacteria
Description: partial 16S ribosomal RNA
Rfam family: Bacterial small subunit ribosomal RNA
Source: RNAcentral